Long non-coding RNA from Equus caballus (horse), 2997 nucleotides. Lineage: Eukaryota; Metazoa; Chordata; Mammalia; Perissodactyla; Equidae. The record is from Ensembl.
GAUGGGCUCCCUGCUGCUCCAUCUGCCGUCUACAUCUCCGGAGGGUGUCUCCAGUUUUCCCCAAUCACCAACUAACACGCAAGGGGAGGCCGGGCUGGUGUGGAAUGAAGAUUUAUGAAAAGCACAACCAAGGAAGGGUUAAAGGCAACCUGUGAUAUGACCUGUCUGCGGAACGCUUAGCCCCUCCAACAAGGCCCUGCAAGUUCCAGAAGCAAAGGCCAGGUCUCCCUGUCUCUCUGCCUCGCUCCCACCCUCUGGACCACAUUUUCUUCGCUCUGAAGACAGAGGUGCCUGAGGCUGUCAAACCUCCUCCCACCGCACCCCGCCCCCAGCAUGUUAGCAAAUCUCUGGAUAAGGAUAGAGAAGCCAGGCUUCACGCGCCUUUCCUUCUGCCCCUGUGAACCUCCCAACAAAAGUAAAAUUAAAUAAAAUGAAAAGUUCUGUGCAAUUGAGAUUGUAGAAACUGACAGCUACAAACCUGGCACACAUGGGAAUAACAGGAGAGAGCACGGGACCUGCAGAUGUCAAAAGACGUUAUUCUGAACGCAAGUGCUCCUGCCGGGAGGGAAGCUGCCCUGCGGCUUCUCUCAAUGCCUUUAACCCUAAAAACACCGUGGCAAUGCUGAGACAGAUCUGGGUACGCUGGCAGGGGUACAUCCACCUUCUCAGCUCUGACACCCCCAGCAAGGUUUGAAAGCUCAGAAAGUUCCAAGAAAGCCCCUCUCCUGCCUGACCUGCUGGUACUGAGGCGGAAGCAUGGAGGAAGAAGAGAGGCUGGAAGGCAGCAGCAACGUAAAUCCAGCCCUGGGCCACAGCCCUGAAGUAAAGCCCUGACUUUCAGGAGGCUGGGACUCGCUCAGCUUCUGUUAAGCUGAAACAUGCCUGGUGCUACAGCUUAUGGGCGCUGGCUAAUCGCACCUUCUGAUUCACACCAUUAUUAAACCGACAGCUUGGGCAACAAGGAGAAUCACCCAGGGCCCAGCGCUCCAGGCCAAAACUGAGCAGAGUGCAAACUCAGGGCACGCAGAUGUUUGGUAAAUGAGUGGUGUGACUGCCCGGCCUGCUUUCUGCCCCAGACCAUGCGACUUGUCCCUCCAGAGAAGAGGAAAGUCUUAGGGAGAGGAGCCUGGCUCCCUCUGGACCACAUUUGCCUGUCUAGGGAGUCGCCGCUUCCCACAGCUGUCACACCCUGUUUUAAGACACCAGAACUAACCCACUGGGCCGCUGACAUCCCUUGCCAGCCUGGGGCCCGCGUGCAGGUUGGAGCACGCAGCUGACAUCACGCCUCAGUCUGGGUUAGCUGUCCCAGGAGCCCGAAUCCCGUCGCUCCUGCACAUGACCCCAGUUGCAACAGUGGGUUAAAGUUCAGAAGCAGGCUGCUGAAAACAUCCACGGUGAUAAGCUGCACCUUUCGCGGCAGAUAACCCCAGCAGGAGAGAAAACAGGUUACAGGACCUCUGAGCUGUCCCUUCCAGCAGCCUCGCUAAUAAAGACCUCUGACCAGUCUUUCUGCUGCUGAUCCCCAUUUACAGUAGAUUAAUGGAAAUUUAAUAUUUUUUCCAAAAUAAGCAACGAGCCUAGUGCUUUAUUUUUCAGCACCCAGCUUAUGUUUUAUUUAUUUUUUAAAUUCAACUUAUUUAAAUUAAAACCAAAAAAACUGGCUCACCUAUUUCUUAUUUUGAGUAAAAUAAACACAUCAGUCUUCUAAGGGAUGUUUUCAGAGGUGAGGCUGAGGAGCUUCUUCUCCUUUCCAGCUGCUCAUGGAAUCAGGGUUUGCGAUCAGCAAGCAAACCCAAGCAAUGCUGAUGCCGUGAGUCAGCCCUGAGCCCCAGGGGCUGGCUGAAGGAUCCAGGUGCGGGGCUGUUUUGAGGGGAAGUGAACUUUGUCCUCUAAUCAAAAUGUUCAACUGGACUCAGAAUCUUCAACUUGGGAUCUCAUAGCUCUGAGAGAAGGAAUCAUUACCAGGUUUAAUUGGUUUAGAAUAAGAGGGGAAAGGAUACAAAAGGCAGCCGCAGCCUUAAGGAGCUUACAGUGCAGUUGGGAAGCCCAGAGCAAAACACAGAGAAGUUAACAGAAAUACAGAGUGGUUGGACCCAAAGCAUCUCCAGCAUGGGGCCUUUGGCCGUGUCUGGAGGUGUGUGUUGUUGGUAGAACCUGGAGAGAGCAGGGCUGCUAUCACUGUCACCUAGUGGGUAGAUGCCAAGCAUCUGCUCUACAUCCUAACAAUGCAAGGCUGGCCCCCCGCAGCAAAGAGGGGCUGAUCCCAAAUGUCAAAGUUCCAAGAAGGAGAAACCUCCGUCUAGAUUCAUCUCAAGCUUCGCUCACCCUGCUCCCCAAAAGCUCUCCUUCUCUCCAUGAAAGAGAGAGGAGCAGCCUCUUCACGUCAGGUCCAGACCUCUCCCGUAGCAAUCAGCACAUUGCAUGUGACUGUCUACUUCCCAGUCUCUUCCCCAGGAUUCACAUAAUCUCUUAUUUACACUACCAUUAGUGGCAUUUAACAUAUAAAGACCACAAUGUGCCCAGUAUCACAGAGAACAUAAAUUUUAGACACAGAUUGUUUUUCGCUUCAGCUUACACAAUAAAAUUGGCUGGCAAGCCAGUACAUCAAGGUCAAAAAAGUUUUUCAAAUACCAGCAAUUGCUCUUAACCAAUCAAAAAAAUAGAUUGUCUUUCAGUACGUGUGCUGCCUUGUGAAAAGAGAGGGAUUAGAGGAAGGAUCUUCAGUCAAAGAACAAAUUCUUGGAGAGACUGUAAAAAAGAAGGAGCCCUCAGAAACCCAAGAGUUAUUACCCUCCUGCUUGGCCACAAAGCAGUAAUAACUUAGGUAUAAAAUACGUGGAAGGAAAAAAGGCAAAACUUUCCCCAAAAUAAAGCCUUCUCCACACAGCUAACUUACUCACCCAGAUUCCAGAACGUUAAGGGAAGUCAGUCGGUAGGAAAUCAAAUGUGUGAAAAAAUGAGGAAAACAUAAAAAAAAUCUGCUUUGGCCCCAUGCAG